Molecule: ribosomal RNA, 600 nt
Rfam family: Bacterial small subunit ribosomal RNA
AUAACGGCAGCGUACACAUGCAAGUCGAGCGGUAACAGAUCUAGCUUGCUACCCGCUGACGAGCGGCGGACGGGUGAGUAAUGCAUAGGAAUCUGCCCGGUAGUGGGGGAUAACCUGGGGAAACCCAGGCUAAUACCGCAUACGUCCUACGGGAGAAAGGGGGCUUUGGCUCCCGCUAUUGGAUGAGCCUAUGUCGGAUUAGCUGGUUGGUGAGGUAAUGGCUCACCAAGGCGACGAUCCGUAGCUGGUCUGAGAGGAUGAUCAGCCACAUCGGGACUGAGACACGGCCCGAACUCCUACGGGAGGCAGCAGUGGGGAAUAUUGGACAAUGGGGGGAACCCUGAUCCAGCCAUGCCGCGUGUGUGAAGAAGGCCCUCGGGUUGUAAAGCACUUUCAGCGAGGAAGAACGCCUGGUGGUUAAUACCCAUCAGGAAAGACAUCACUCGCAGAAGAAGCACCGGCUAACUCCGUGCCAGCAGCCGCGGUAAUACGGAGGGUGCAAGCGUUAAUCGGAAUUACUGGGCGUAAAGCGCGCGUAGGUGGCUUGAUAAGCCGGUUGUGAAAGCCCCGGGCUCAACCUGGGAACGGCAUCCGGAACUG